Molecule: ribosomal RNA, 659 nt
Filed under: Staphylococcus haemolyticus
Lineage: Bacteria; Bacillati; Bacillota; Bacilli; Caryophanales; Staphylococcaceae
Description: bacterial LSU rRNA
Rfam family: Bacterial large subunit ribosomal RNA
Source: RNAcentral
AUGUGGAGCCGUAGCGAAAGCGAGUCUGAAUAGGGCGUUGAGUAUUUGGUCGUAGACCCGAAACCAGGUGAUCUACCCAUGGUCAGGUUGAAGUUCAGGUAACACUGAAUGGAGGACCGAACCGACUUACGUUGAAAAGUGAGCGGAUGAACUGUGGGUAGCGGAGAAAUUCCAAUCGAACUUGGAGAUAGCUGGUUCUCUCCGAAAUAGCUUUAGGGCUAGCCUCAAGUGAUGAUUAUUGGAGGUAGAGCACUGUUUGGACGAGGGGCCCCUCUCGGGUUACCGAAUUCAGACAAACUCCGAAUGCCAAUUAAUUUAACUUGGGAGUCAGAACAUGGGUGAUAAGGUCCGUGUUCGAAAGGGAAACAGCCCAGACCACCAGCUAAGGUCCCAAAAUAUAUGUUAAGUGGAAAAGGAUGUGGCGUUGCCCAGACAACUAGGAUGUUGGCUUAGAAGCAGCCAUCAUUUAAAGAGUGCGUAAUAGCUCACUAGUCGAGUGACACUGCGCCGAAAAUGUACCGGGGCUAAACAUAUUACCGAAGCUGUGGAUUGUCCAUAGGACAAUGAUAGGAGAGCGUUCUAAGGGCGUUGAAGCAUGAUCGCAAGGACAUGUGGAGCGCUUAGAAGUGAGAAUGCCGGUGUGAGUAGCGAAAGACGGG